AUUGAAACACUGGUUUCCAUAUGAUCACUGAAAUUAAGCAACAUUGAGCUUGGUCAAUACCUAGGUGGGUGACCACUUGGGAAUACCAGGUGCUGUAA
Molecule: non-coding RNA, 98 nt
Organism: Acanthosepion pharaonis
Lineage: Eukaryota; Metazoa; Mollusca; Cephalopoda; Sepiida; Sepiidae
Source: the annotation of a GenBank genome assembly